This 698-nucleotide long non-coding RNA is filed under the name Olea europaea subsp. europaea. The record is from RNAcentral. Lineage: Eukaryota; Viridiplantae; Streptophyta; Magnoliopsida; Lamiales; Oleaceae.
CAUAAUUAAAAUAAUGAUGACGUUUAGUUCAAAUAUACAAAAAAUUAGAAUCUAAAAUUAAAAACAACUCUGCAAGCAUCACCAAUUAUUUUGAAGAAAAAGUAACUUUCAAACAAACCAAAUAUGAAAUCGACGUACCAAUGGUCAGCGCUCCAAAAUUUUGUUGCUAAUGUUAUGUUCCGCUGUAAGAGUUUCACACAACUCAAAAAAAAUAAAAAUAAAUAAAGCAAUAAAUUAGAACCCAAAACACACAACAAAAACAUGAAAUGAAAAUACUUUAGGUACAUAAAAGUGAUAAAUGAUGGAGUAAACUUAUGCUCUAUCCUUUUUAUGCCCUUCAUUGUCAAAACAAAUUUAAUUUUCGUUGUAGAAUACAAAGACGGUACCUUUUUAUUGAGAAAAGGGCUUCGUUCGAAAUCGAAGCCCCACAAGGAUUUGGAGAUCGUUCGAAAAAAUAGAAACAUUCAAACAUUUCAGAUGGAAAAAAGUUCUAAAAUAAAUGUACCGAAUUUUAAAAAAAAUUAAAAAGAAAAUGUCCAACCUUUCUACAAUCAAAAAGUUCUAGAUGUAAAUAUUUCCCAAUAGGAACUCAUUCAUAUAGAGAAAUCUAGAUUGGAGAAGCCAAAAAUGAAAUUGCAGUGUGAGAGGCGAUAAGGGCAACCGAUGGAGGGUUUUGGUCUGUAGAGAGAGAGUGUGUG